AGAGUUUGAUCCUGGCUCAGGACGAACGCUGGCGGCGUGCUUAACACAUGCAAGUCGAACGGAAAGGCCCUGCUUGCAGGGUGCUCGAGUGGCGAACGGGUGAGUAACACGUGGGUGAUCUGCCCCUUACUUUGGGAUAAGCCUGGGAAACUGGGUCUAAUACUGGAUAGGACCAUGCUGUAGGUGGUGUGGUGGAAAGAUUAGUUUCGGUAAGGGAUGAGCUCGCGGCCUAUCAGCUUGUUGGUGGGGUAAUGGCCUACCAAGGCGUCGACGGGUAGCCGGCCUGAGAGGGUGGACGGCCACAUUGGGACUGAGAUACGGCCCAGACUCCUACGGGAGGCAGCAGUGGGGAAUAUUGCACAAUGGGCGCAAGCCUGAUGCAGCGACGCCGCGUGGGGGAUGACGGCCUUCGGGUUGUAAACUCCUUUCAGCCAUGACGAAGCCUUCGGGUGACGGUAGUGGUAGAAGAAGCACCGGCUAACUACGUGCCAGCAGCCGCGGUAAUACGUAGGGUGCGAGCGUUGUCCGGAAUUACUGGGCGUAAAGAGCUCGUGGGUGGUCUGUCGCGUCAUUUGUGAAAGCCCGGGGCUUAACUCCGGGUUGGCAGGUGAUACGGGCAUGACUGGAGUACUGUAGGGGAGACUGGAAUUCCUGGUGUAGCGGUGAAAUGCGCAGAUAUCAGGAGGAACACCGGUGGCGAAGGCGGGUCUCUGGGCAGUAACUGACGCUGAGGAGCGAAAGCAUGGGUAGCGAACAGGAUUAGAUACCCUGGUAGUCCAUGCCGUAAACGUGGGCGCUAGGUGUGGGUUUCCUUCCACGGGAUCCGUGCCGUAGCUAACGCAUUAAGCGCCCCGCCUGGGGAGUACGGCCGCAAGGCUAAAACUCAGAGGAAUGACG
This 897-nucleotide ribosomal RNA is filed under the name uncultured bacterium. Its description in RNAcentral is "bacterial SSU rRNA". It matches the Rfam family "Bacterial small subunit ribosomal RNA", at positions 8 to 915 of the family's 1533-position model. The record is from RNAcentral.